UAGCAACAGCUAUUAUUAUAUUUUUCGUAUUUGCUUUUUGUUUUUGGAAGAGGAUAUGCACACAUACACUUCUCAGACUUGCCUAACUUUUGGGUUUUUCCAUUGUGGCCGAUCACUGUAAUGCAAUUGUAAAACAACUUCCUGCCCCUUUGGCUCAAGUUCUAGGAGCUGUAAUGCUACGUUCUCUGCAAAACGUUUUUUCACCCCCUCUUUGCCAAAGAAGCAUCAUAUCUCACCCCGCGCGCGCGCGCGCAGCCCCCCCCCCCCAACCCUAACAACCUUCCAACAAUUUGGGGGAGGGAGUGGUGUCGAAGAUUCCUAAUAUGAUUUUUUCCCUUUUUUGGUCGAUCGAGCCUUAAGAAUGUUGAACAAGAGAUGUCUGUAUCGCAACUGGAUAACCCGUGUGCUUUUAAAAGAAAACAACAUUCAUGAAACAGCAAAAUCUUCAGAUACCAGACAACUAGGAAGGCACCAGGCUGCGCAAAUAUGCAGAUGUCUAGAAAUACAGGUAUCUAAAGAGUAGAUUUUAUUUGAUCAUCUUAUUUGAUAGACAAUCAUGCAAGAGAUUGCUGACUCCUUCUUUAUGCAAAGAGAUACAACCUGCCAAAAAACCAGCAUCCACAGUAAGAUGCAAUAGUUUACAUAAUUGGCUUAAGCAAUGUAACAGGGCUCUAUUAAGUUUUAUGAUGAGACUUCAGCAUAAGCCCCAUUGCCUACAACAGACGGGAUCAAACCCUGAAUAUACAUUUCUCCAAUUCAUCUGGAUACAUUUGCGAGAAUAUAUUGAUAACUAAUAGUACCAAAAAGAAGCAUAUUUACUAGCCACAGGGAUGGCUACAUUGUAUGAAAUAAAUAGAGAGAGCCCUGGCCAGAACUUUGCAACCUAUGCUUUUAUGCUUUGGAGUGUGUCUGUACCCCACCAUAACCAUUCUGUUUUUGCUUUUUACGUUCAACAAUUCAAGGGUUGAAGAGCCUGCAGAUUUCAAGGGGUUUGCCAGUUUCAGGCAGACUGUCCAAACAGAGUUAUGCAAAAAGUUAAUUGAGGUCACCUUGGAAAAUAUUCAGCAAAGCUAAUUUUGGGUCAAGGCUAGGGUUGCCGUGUAAUCACCCCACUUCCUGGAUGAACUUCUCGAAAUACUUCCUUGUUACUUCAUAAGUCAACUACGAAUCAUAUAAGAAGUCUAGAGCCUUGUAGCUUUACCGGCAAGGUAAAUUAUACCUAGCUUCUCUCCUAAACCAGUACUCUUUGUAUAAGGAUGUCUUUUUUUCUUUUUGGAAGAAUUGCUACCAUCAACUUCAUUUAUAUAACUGCCCAGACCCUAAGAUUGGCUUCAGUGGUCCUUCUUCAGAAGCCCCUGCCAAACAAAAUGAGGCAAGUGACCUUUUUCGUUGUAGCACCCUGAUUGUGGAAUGCCCUCCCUAGAAAGGCCCGCUUGGCACUUACAUUGUGGUCUUUUCAGCGCCAUGUAAAGACAUUAUUUUCCCAGGUGUUUUAAUCUUUCAGUUUUUGUUGUUUUAAAAUCUUUAUACUGCUGUUUUUUACUCUGAUUUUAUGGUGCAUUGAAAUGUUUAUAUUAUAUUUUAUUGUGAUAUAUUUUAUAGUUUUAAUUGUUGUGAACCGCUCAGAGAGCUUUGGCUACUGAACAGCAUAGAAAUGUAAUAAAUACAUAAAAUAAUCUCAAUAUGAUAAAUUCAAAUUAGCAAAAACAAACAAAACCCACUGUGUGAAGAAAUCAGAAGUGGCCUGAAAACAUCAACAAACACCAAAAAUGAAUAAUAGUUAAAAGCAAAGAAAAACCUCCCAUAACUGGUGCAGAGGUUAUACAAAAUCCCAACUAUUCCUGUACUAUUUUCUUCCAGCAAUACAUCCGAAUAGUGACUAGCUAUCUCAAGGAGCUGGUCCUGACAUCUUGUGAAGCAAACAUGAUGGUAAAGCUCUAUAUGGCCUUCAAACCAAAUAUAAGAACUGGAGGAAGCCACUUUGCCUACAGGACAGGUUGAUCAACAGUAUGCACCCCCCUCCUGCCCCCACGAGCUACAAAGAGCAACGUGUUAGAAACGUUUUGCAAAGCAGUGCAAAUGGAUUUUUUAAACGGCAGAAAUGCUUCAUCAUGAUCAAAAUGGAUGGAAUUUAGGAAGCAAAAAAUGUUAUUUAGAUUGCACUUCUGUAUAGACUGCAAAUUUGGAGAUGUUCCAUUUGUAGCAAAACUAAAUAAUACUCAUUUUGAAAAUGCUGUUAUGUUCCUACUUCUCUAAAUAUAUUUACUCUGUUUAGAAUAAGGGUAAUUUUGAAAGAGUCUAGUUAUUUUGCCUGUAUAUACACCUCGGAAUAAUCUCACAUCUCUAGGAUUUAACCUACCAAUUGCUAAACAAAAAUUCCAACAAUAAUAAAAUGUAGUGAUGUUAAUUCUAGAUGGAAGAUUUUUUAAAAUGGGACAACUGGUAACUUUACUGUAAUUGAAAGCAUUAUUAUAAUUGCAGCGAUGUAAGAUUUUUUAAUUUACAUUUAUUGGACUACAAAAGUGUAUUAUAAAAGAAGACAAAUAAAAGCGGCAAUCCUAAUA
This is a long non-coding RNA of Elgaria multicarinata webbii, 2564 nucleotides long. RefSeq lists it as uncharacterized. Lineage: Eukaryota; Metazoa; Chordata; Lepidosauria; Squamata; Anguidae. The transcript is spliced from 3 exons. The record is from RefSeq and is a predicted model, not a curated record.